UACGAAGGGGGCGAGCGUUGUUCGGAUUUACUGGGCGUAAAGGGCGCGCAGGCGGCUAGUUUUGUCGAGUGUGAAAGCCCCGGGCUUAACCUGGGAACUGCGCUCGAAACGGGCUGGCUAGAGAUCGGGAGAGGAGAGUGGAAUUCCCAGUGUAGAGGUGAAAUUCGUAGAUAUUGGGAAGAACACCGGUGGCGAAGGCGGCUCUCUGGACCGAUACUGACGCUGAGGCGCGAAAGCGUGGGGAGCAAACAGGAUUAGAUACCCUGGUAGUCCACGCUGUAAACGAUGUGUGCUAGACGUUGGGGAGCCUAGCUCUUCGGUGUCGCAGCUAACGCUUUAAGCACACCGCCUGGGGAGUACGGCCGCAAGGUUAAAACUCAAAG
This 383-nucleotide ribosomal RNA is filed under the name uncultured bacterium. RNAcentral describes it as "bacterial SSU rRNA". It matches the Rfam family "Bacterial small subunit ribosomal RNA", at positions 524 to 906 of the family's 1533-position model. The record is from RNAcentral.